This 215-nucleotide ribosomal RNA is filed under the name uncultured bacterium. RNAcentral's name for it is "partial 16S ribosomal RNA". It matches the Rfam family "Bacterial small subunit ribosomal RNA", at positions 116 to 334 of the family's 1533-position model. The record is from RNAcentral.
CGUGGGUGACCUGCCCUCAAGUGGGGAAUAACGCUGCGAAAGCAGCGCUAAUACCGCAUACGCUCCGCGGUUCAGUCGGCGGAGCAAAGCUCCACGCGCUUGAGGAGGGGCCUGCGGCCGAUUAGCUAGUCGGUGGGGUAAUGGCCUACCGAGGCGACGAUCGGUAGCUGGUCUGAGAGGAUGAUCAGCCACACUGGGACUGAGACACGGCCCAG